GCCUAGGUGGCGGAAUCGGUAGACGCAGUGGACUCAAAAUCCACCGCCUUUGCGGGCGUGCCGGUUCGAGUCCGGCUCUAGGCA
Molecule: transfer RNA, 84 nt
Filed under: Agitococcus lubricus
Lineage: Bacteria; Pseudomonadati; Pseudomonadota; Gammaproteobacteria; Moraxellales; Moraxellaceae
Rfam family: tRNA
About the family: Transfer RNA (tRNA) molecules are approximately 80 nucleotides in length. Their secondary structure includes four short double-helical elements and three loops (D, anti-codon, and T loops).
Source: Rfam by way of RNAcentral